GACGAACGCUGGCGGCGUGCCUAACACAUGCAAGUCGAACGGGUAAUUUCUUCGGAGAUUACUUAGUGGCGAACGGGUGAGUAACGCGUGAGAAACCUGCCUUUCAGUGGGGACAACAGUUGGAAACGACUGCUAAUACCGCAUAAUGUUAUUUGGGGCAAUUCGCUUCAGGAUGGACCCGCGUCUGAUUAGCUAGUUGGUGAGGUAACGGCUCACCAAGUCGACGAUCGGUAGCCGGACUGAGAGGUUGAACGGCCACAUUGGGACUGAGACACGGCCCAGACUCCUACGGGAGGCAGCAGUGGGGAAUAUUGCACAAUGGGGGGAAACCCUGAUGCAGCGACGCCGCGUGAGCGAUGAAGUAUUUCGGUAUGUAAAGCUCUAUCAGCAAGGAAGAUAAUGACGGUACUUGACUAAGAAGCCCCCGGCUAAACUACGUG
Molecule: ribosomal RNA, 440 nt
Filed under: uncultured bacterium
Lineage: Bacteria
Description: bacterial SSU rRNA
Rfam family: Bacterial small subunit ribosomal RNA
Source: RNAcentral